RNAcentral lists this long non-coding RNA (1568 nucleotides) under Actinia tenebrosa (Australian red waratah sea anemone). Its description in RNAcentral is "uncharacterized LOC116301153". Lineage: Eukaryota; Metazoa; Cnidaria; Anthozoa; Actiniaria; Actiniidae. The record is from RNAcentral.
AUAUAAUGCAAACAUUAAAGAACAAAGUUGGUUAAACUUGGGAGCUUCCUUUUUGACCUCCAUUUUUUCCAGAAUUUACCUUAAAUGCAUCUGCAUUUUGUCUUCCUAUUCAGGAAGAGAAAUGGAUUCCACUAUAAGAUGUGCAGGGUGUGGCCAUGAUGUUCUCAGGUCUGCAGCAUUUGAAUGUCAAUUCAAGGAAGGUGAUAAGCCAUCCCAGAGCAAUAAAGCAUUAUUAUUUGAAGGAUCACAAGAAACGCACCGACUUUGUAUGGAAUGUAAAUAUAUUGUUGAAACUCAUUAUGGUGACCUAAGUAACGUAACACCAGAAGAUGCCUAUACUUUACUGUAUAGCGUCAGGGUCAAAGGAGGCGAACAAUGCUGCGCAUGCUGUUGCAACAGCUGCACAGUCAUGUGAAUAACAGAACUGACUGCCGAAAUAUGAUGAAUAGCAUAUAAUAGCCUACGAUUAGAAUAUAUAUCAAGAAAUCAUGGAAUGAGUGAAUAGAUUUUUAGUUGGAUUCUCAAUGCCUCCAAAAUAUUUUUUCCAAAAAUCUUAGACGGUAGAGGUAGCAUGAAUUAAAGAUUUAUUUUAUUUUCAUGGUAACACAUGCAUGCACAUCACAACAAAGUAAUAAUACUUUCUGAACAAAGUUAAUUUUGAUUCAGAGCAUAGAUAUGCAGUAACUACCCAGAAAAGUUUUUACCAUGAAUUAAGAAAUUUUGCUCAAUGAAUAUUUGCAUGCAGAUGUACAUGAAUAUUAUUCUUUUCAUUUUAUAGAGAAAUAUAUAUAAUUGAUAGUAACUUUUUAAAUUUAUUUACAAAAAUUCCCAUGUACAAAAAAUAGCUGAGCUGUUCUGCUUUUUUUAUCUGGGAGGGGUUGAUACAAUUUGCUUGAUAACCCAUAUAAGAAAUUGGACCCCCCUUCUCUGUUGAUGCAUGAAAAAAUGGCCCUUAUCUGGCUUUUUUUCCUGUUUAUCAUAAAAGUGCCAUACCAGUCAAGUUUAUCUGUGUCCCUCCUGUAAAGCCUGAUUUUUUUAAUGACCAUCUCCCAAAUCCCACUCACCCCCUCCCCAGUAAAAAGUAAAUGGUUCCUAAUAAAAUUAAAACCAUAAAAAAAAUGUUAGAGUGAAGUCACUAAACCUGUGAAAUAGAUAUUAGACUAACACACUUUAGUACACCUUAAUUCCAUUGUUUUCUUUUGUGUCUAUUUGACUAUUACACGUUGGCUAAUAAUUUUUAUUUUCCUCUAUGUCAGUGCAGUGUUAUUAAAAAAAGGUAAUUUUAACAAAAAACAGCAUUACCUAAGAAACAGGUGUUUUGAAGUCCCAUUUCAUUUGCACAAAAACACACACAACACAAGAUAGGAUAAUUAUUUUAUUAAAAAAUUAUACCAGAAAAAAGCCUAAUAAUAAUAACUCUUAUGUACAUGAACGUCAGAUUUUAGUUUAGUUAUAAAUAGUUUGUAUUGUAAAUAAUAAUAAGCAAGAAUAAAUUGUUUCCCUUAUAUAGGUUUUUUAAUCACUAAUAUGAGUUCUCUUUUAAGUCUAAUUAAAUAAUUUGAUCUACA